RNAcentral lists this ribosomal RNA (229 nucleotides) under Comamonas sp. 26. RNAcentral's name for it is "partial 16S ribosomal RNA". It matches the Rfam family "Bacterial small subunit ribosomal RNA", at positions 1 to 235 of the family's 1533-position model. The record is from RNAcentral. Lineage: Bacteria; Pseudomonadati; Pseudomonadota; Betaproteobacteria; Burkholderiales; Comamonadaceae.
UCGAACUAUAGAGUUUGAUCCUGGCUCAGAUUGAACGCUGGCGCAUGCUUUACACAUGCAAGUCGAACGGUAACAGGUCUUCGGAUGCUGACGAGUGGCGAACGGGUGAGUAAUACAUCGGAAGUGCCUAGUAGUGGGGAUAACUACUCGAAAGAGUAGCUAAUACCGCAUGAGAUCUACGGAUGAAAGCAGGGGAUCGCAAGACCUUGUGCUACUAGAGCGGCUGAUG